AUAGUUGAUCAAAUGAGGAAAGACUCUCCAACAAACAGAUCCUGAAAACAUUUAAUACCUAGUCUAUUCAACGCUUUAAAAACUACAUCAGUCACAGAAGGUUUAAAAAAUAAUUAGAAAAAAUGGGACUAGAGAGUGAAAAACCAAAUAACCCAAAGAAUUUUCUAAAUUGUAACCAAAUCCACAAAGAAUGUUUAAGUACAAAAUUAUCAGUUAAGUUACUCAAGGAUAAAGGAAUUGAACAACCAAAAAGAGAAAUAAUAGAAAAUUGUUCAUUUUCGCCAGUCCUGUGUAAUUUAUUAUGUAAAUAUUUUAAUUGCAGGUAUUUCCAGUGAAGACUCUAUAAUUAUUAUUGCAUUGAUCUCAGGGCUGGUAUUUUCUUUGGUAUGUCUUGGUGGAUCAUUGCUUCUGUGGUGUUUGGAGAAGAAAUCAAAGUGAGCGUCUUUGAGCUUGGUGAUUUGCAGAGUUCUAUUUCUUGCUGCUACCUUUGUUGCACUUGCCUCAUGGAUUGGGAUUAAAGGUGCCAACUUCAUCCCCACUGUUGCAUUAUGCAUGGUGGGUGUUCAUCUUCUGGCCAUUGUUGCACCCGUUGUCAUAUAGAAGUCCAGCUGCUUGUUUACUGAGGAAUUCCAAGAAAGAUUCUCAUCCUUCCACUUGCCUGAAUGAUACGAUUGUGAUCCUCAUUUUGGUCACUAUUUUGAUGGAGGAGAUUCAGCAAAGCAGUAAGUUUACAACAGUGCUUGCUUACAUGGUAUUGUACAUAAAUUAAUCCCAUAUAUCUUUGCAAUACAGAAGGCCAUUCUGUCCAUAAAGUCAAUUCCAGCUCACAGCGGUGCUAUUUCCAGUCUAAUUCUCCUGCUGGAGUCACAAGGAGAGAGAGAGCAUGGAACGAGACCUUCCGCCCAUCAAGGACUUGUUGAUCAUCAAGCAGCACUGUUUCCCCCCAGCAGUCUUUGUGUCCACCUGCUCAUCACCUCUCCCCUAAUGGCUGCCAUUAUCCCCUUCCUUGCUUAUUUUCCUGCACUGGUUGCAUUUGUGUUAAUGCUUAUUUCCCUCCUCCAUGUCUUCACAUUUACCCUCCUGUCCCACUACCUGGCUACAUCUGCCUCUUCAUUUUCUGUCUGUUUCCGUCUAUCAUUCAUCUGACUGCCAAUGCCAUCCCUCUCUUUCCCUCCCCCCACUUUGCUCAAUCUGCCUUUCAUGCUUCACCCCUCCUUGAUGCAUCAAUCACCAAAUGGCCCCUGUCUCACUUCUUCCCCCUCUCUCCUUUAUACUCAGUAUCUCUUUCAUCCUGAUGCACAGUUUCAAGCAGAAAAGUUGACAGUUCCUUUCCCCUAACAGACUGUUUGCUUCUCUGCAGACUUUUAUAUUCUUAUAGAUAAUCAGCAUCAAGUUUUGUUUGAUAAUGCUUCUAAGAAAUUCUCUGGAAUGGUUUACACAGUAAAAAGCUACAUUAAUGCAGGUUUUUAUAUUUUCCCAUGUGAGAUGUCCAUUGUGAACUCAGUGUAUUCGAUGUUAUAAAUUUACUGAACAAAGUUGUCACACCAGCAUUUAUACAUGGACUGUACCUACUGCGCUGAUAGUCAGCGGUGUUACAGUUAUCUCGUUGUUCCUUGCAACGUAUCGCUGUAAGUAUUAAAUCUUAUAAUCAUGUUCAUUUUGUA
Molecule: long non-coding RNA, 1664 nt
Organism: Mobula hypostoma (lesser devil ray)
Lineage: Eukaryota; Metazoa; Chordata; Chondrichthyes; Myliobatiformes; Myliobatidae
Exons: 4
Source: RefSeq, a predicted model, not a curated record